This 375-nucleotide unclassified non-coding RNA is filed under the name soil metagenome. RNAcentral's name for it is "partial contains 5.8S ribosomal RNA, internal transcribed spacer 2, and large subunit ribosomal RNA". The stretch from base 1 to 120 matches the Rfam family "5.8S ribosomal RNA", at positions 35 to 154 of the family's 154-position model. The record is from RNAcentral.
GAUGAAGAACGCAGCGAAAUGCGAUAAGUAGUGUGAAUUGCAGAAUUCAGUGAAUCAUCGAAUCUUUGAACGCACAUUGCGCCCGCCAGUAUUCUGGCGGGCAUGCCUGUUCGAGCGUCAUUUCAACCCUCAAGACCCCUUCGGGGGACUUGGUGUUGGGGACCGGCACAGGGGCCUGCCUGCUUGUCUUGCAGCGCCCUCGCCGCCCCCGAAAUGAAUUGGCGGCCUCGUCGCGGCCUCCCCUGCGUAGUAGCACAACCUCGCAACGGGAACGUGACGGCGGCCACUGCCGUAAAACAACCCCAAUUUUAUUAGAGUUGACCUCGAAUCAGGUAGGAAUACCCGCUGAACUUAAGCAUAUCAAUAAGCGGAGGA